This 749-nucleotide ribosomal RNA is filed under the name uncultured Capnocytophaga sp. RNAcentral describes it as "bacterial SSU rRNA". It matches the Rfam family "Bacterial small subunit ribosomal RNA", at positions 28 to 776 of the family's 1533-position model. Lineage: Bacteria; Pseudomonadati; Bacteroidota; Flavobacteriia; Flavobacteriales; Flavobacteriaceae. The record is from RNAcentral.
GAUGAACGCUAGCGGCAGGCCUAACACAUGCAAGUCGAGGGAGAGGUUACCUUCGGGUAACCAAAACCGGCGCACGGGUGCGUAACGCGUAUACAAUCUGCCUUUCACAUAGGGAUAGCCCGAAGAAAUUUGGAUUAAUACCUAAUGGUAUAUAAGAGCGGCAUCGUUUUUAUAUUAAAGCUACGGUGGUGAAAGAUGAGUAUGCGUUCUAUUAGCUAGUUGGAGAGGUAACGGCUCCCCAAGGCGACGAUAGAUAGGGGUUCUGAGAGGGAUGUCCCCCACAUUGGUACUGAGAUACGGACCAGACUCCUACGGGAGGCAGCAGUGAGGAAUAUUGGACAAUGGUCGGAAGACUGAUCCAGCCAUGCCGCGUGCAGGAUGAAGGUCCUAUGGAUUGUAAACUGCUUUUGUAAGGGAAGAAUAAGGAGUACGUGUACUUUGAUGACGGUACCUUACGAAUAAGCAUCGGCUAACUCCGUGCCAGCAGCCGCGGUAAUACGGAGGAUGCGAGCGUUAUCCGGAAUCAUUGGGUUUAAAGGGUCCGUAGGCGGGCUGAUAAGUCAGAGGUGAAAGCGCUUAGCUCAACUAAGCAACUGCCUUUGAAACUGUCAGUCUUGAAUGAUUGUGAAGUAGUUGGAAUGUGUAGUGUAGCGGUGAAAUGCUUAGAUAUUACACAGAACACCGAUAGCGAAGGCAUAUUACUAACAAUUUAUUGACGCUGAUGGACGAAAGCGUGGGGAGCGAACAGG